This 429-nucleotide ribosomal RNA is filed under the name Pseudomonadota bacterium. RNAcentral describes it as "Proteobacteria bacterium partial 16S ribosomal RNA". It matches the Rfam family "Bacterial small subunit ribosomal RNA", at positions 355 to 776 of the family's 1533-position model. Lineage: Bacteria; Pseudomonadati; Pseudomonadota. The record is from RNAcentral.
UGGGGAAUAUUGGACAAUGGGCGAAAGCCUGAUCCAGCCAUGCCGCGUGUGUGAAGAAGGUCUUCGGAUUGUAAAGCACUUUAAGUUGGGAGGAAGGGCAGUAAGCGAAUACCUUGCUGUUUUGACGUUACCGACAGAAUAAGCACCGGCUAACUCUGUGCCAGCAGCCGCGGUACUACAGAGGGUGCAAGCGUUACUCGGAAUUACUGGGCGUAAAGCGCGCGUAGGUGGUUCGUUAAGUUGAAUGUGAAAGCCCCGGGCUCAACCUGGGAACUGCAUCCAAAGCUGGCGGGCUAGAGUAGGGCAGAGGGUGGUGGAAUUUCCUGUGUAGCGGUGAAAUGCGUCGAUAUAGGAAGGAACAACAGUGGCGAAGGCGACCACCUGGGCUCAUACUGACACUGAGGUGGGAAAGAGUGGGGAGCAAACAAG